AGAGUUUGAUCCUGGCUCAGAAUGAACGCUGGCGGCGUGCCUAACACAUGCAAGUCGGAUGUGCCCGCAAGGGUGCAUGGCAGACGGGUGAGUAACGCGUGGGGAAUCUACCUUUUAGUGGGGAAUAACGCUCCGAAAGGAGUGGUAAUACCGCAUGUGACCGAUGGCUGGGAUGCUGUCGGUGAAACCCUGGGACCUUCGGGCCAGGGGCUAAAAGAGGAUCCUGCGUCUGAUUAGCUAGUUGGCGGGGUAAUGGCCCACCAAGGCGACGAUCAGUAGCCGGCCUGAGAGGGUGAUCGGCCACACUGGAACUGAGACACGGUCCAGACUCCUACGGGAGGCAGCAGUGGGGAAUUUUGCGCAAUGGGGGAAACCCUGACGCAGCAACGCCGCGUGGGUGAUGAAGGUCUUCGGAUUGUAAAACCCUGUCGCCAGGGACGAAGGGGGUGAGGUUAAUAG
This 459-nucleotide ribosomal RNA is filed under the name uncultured bacterium. RNAcentral describes it as "bacterial SSU rRNA". It matches the Rfam family "Bacterial small subunit ribosomal RNA", at positions 8 to 465 of the family's 1533-position model. The record is from RNAcentral.